Microcebus murinus (gray mouse lemur) is the source of this 659-nucleotide non-coding RNA. The record is from RefSeq and is a predicted model, not a curated record. NCBI's taxonomy places the organism in Eukaryota, Metazoa, Chordata, Mammalia, Primates, Cheirogaleidae.
UAGCCUAUGUUAGCUCUAUCUUCCUGGCUAGACCGUAGAGUCAGUGAGGACAGGGACUUCUUCCCUCCCACUAUGGUACCCAGCACAGUGAUUGGCAGGUAGGCUCUUGAUAAAUAGUCACAUGUUAAUGAGCUGAUGAUAUCUGGCAGUGCUAGAUACAGGCCGUUCAAAGCUGGAACUUUCAGAGGAUAUUUUGGGGUGCAAGUGGCAGAAAUACAACUCAAACUCAAAAAAACCUCAACUAAAAAAAAAAAAAGAACAGGCAAAAAUUGUUUCAUAGAACUGAAAAGUCCAGAGGUGUGGUUAAGUUCAGGAAGUACCUGCUGCCUGUUUGGGGUUUCUCCUGUCUCAGCUCUACGAGACGCCCCCUCGCUCCUGCCCAUCUUCAUGCAGAGACACUGAAGCCACCCCUCUUACAGCAAUGAUAGAGAAAUGGAAUUCCAAGAUUUUUUAAAGCUGUCUAACAUUCAGGUGCUCUGUGAGAUAGUUUUUCUGCAGUACCUUGUUUCAUCUCCACCAUAUCCUUGAGAGGCUAUUGAUAAGCAGUAUGACAUGCUCUGGUGAUGCCGGGCAGUGGCAGCCAGCGCAGCUCCCAGUCAGCCAUGUGAUCACCAGGAUAAAGAACUGAUACUCUACAGUGUACUGUACUCAAUAAAUGA